ACUGCUCAGUAACACGUGGACAACCUGCCCUUAGGUUGGGUAUAAACCCGGGAAACUGGGUAUAAUACCCGAUAGGUCUCGAUUGCUGGAAUGCAUCGAGAUUUAAAGCUCCGGCGCCUAAGGAUGGGUCUGCGGCCUAUCAGGUAGUAGUGGGUGUAGCGUACCUACUAGCCUACGACGGGUACGGGUUGUGAGAGCAAGAGCCCGGAGAUGGAUUCUGAGACACGAAUCCAGGCCCUACGGGGUGCAGCAGACGCGAAAACUUUACAAUGCUGGCAACAGCGAUAAGGGAACCUCGAGUGCCAGGUUACAAAUCCGGCUGUCGAGAUGCCUAAAAAGCAUUUCAUAGCAAGGGCCGGGCAAGACCGGUGCCAGCCGCCGCGGUAACACCGGCGGCUCGAGUGGUAACCGUUAUUAUUGGGUCUAAAGGGUCUGUAGCCGGCCGGAUAAGUCUCUUGAGAAAUCUGGCAGCUUAACUGUCAGGCUUUCAGGAGAUACUGUCUGGCUCGAGGCCGGGAGAGGUGAGAGGUACUUCAGGGGUAGGGGUGAAAUCUUGUAAUCCUUGAAGGACCACCAGUGGCGAAGGCGUCUCACCAGAACGGACCUGACGGCAAGGGACGAAAGCUAGGGGCACGAACCGGAUUAGAUACCCGGGAAGUCCUAGCCGUAAACGAUACUCGCUAGGUGUCGGCCACGGUGCGACCGUUGUCGGUGCCGUAGGGAAGCCGUGAAGCGAGCCACCUGGGAAGUACGGCCGCAAGGCUGAAACUUAAAGGAAUUGGCGGGGGAGCAC
This 793-nucleotide ribosomal RNA is filed under the name uncultured archaeon. Its description in RNAcentral is "bacterial SSU rRNA". It matches the Rfam family "Archaeal small subunit ribosomal RNA", at positions 85 to 879 of the family's 1478-position model. The record is from RNAcentral.